Homo sapiens (human) is the source of this 2002-nucleotide long non-coding RNA. RefSeq lists it as uncharacterized. The record is from RefSeq and is a predicted model, not a curated record. The transcript is spliced from 7 exons. NCBI's taxonomy places the organism in Eukaryota, Metazoa, Chordata, Mammalia, Primates, Hominidae.
AACAGCCUAACUGCCUUCCUUCUGCCUGCCCAGAAGUGUACCAGGCUCACUCGUGCCUUUGCUCACUCGGAUGCCUCCCUAGAUCACGUUUUCACCUCCCUUGUUCAUCUGGCUCUCCCCACCCUCCUACUUUCAGACUUAUCCUUCUAGGUCAGCAAAUCUGGAGAGCCUCUCCUCUUGAUCUAGGGUCAUUAUUACAAUGAAGGGAAGAAAGGAAGACAUGAAGGGGAAAUGGGACUAUUUACCAAGUGUAUCUGCAUAGACUAAAGGAGACAAGAGGAAGUACUGAGCACCUUGAUUCCUGCAGAUAAUUAUUUAAGAACCAUAAGAAUUCUUUCCUAGCUUCUCAUAAGCCUGCUCCUUCAAAGGGUUAACUGCAGUGAAUCAAACUAUUGGAUUAUAAUUCCAUGAAGUAAGUUUAUUGAAGACAAACAGGCCUUGGGCCGCUGCCUCUGUCUCUCCUGCCUUCCCCACUGAAUCUCCAGCCCACAUUCACAAACAAAGACAAACCUGUGUAAACUGAAGCACCACAAAACUACUUUUAUGAAAGCAGAAUGGAAGCAGAUUUCACCUGCAUUUCCUACAUUCAACUGAAUCCUUUAAAUUGACUGAGGCACAUCCUGUACCAAGGAGAGACCUUUGUUACUGCCUUUGAUCCUGAGACCUUCUGAGCCAGCCUCCUUGGUAUAACCACGCAUUUACGGAAGAUGACGUUACCAGCAGCCCUGGGGCGCAGUCAACAGCAGUGGAAGAGCUGGCUCAUGUGUGGCUCAGGCUGACUCCACAAUCAGAGUGAUUAUGUGGAAAUCAAUCAGAAUUUUCUUCUUAGAAGAUGUUUGUUCUGACAUAAUGACUGACUUUCCAGCUAAUUUUUAUUCAUAGGCUUCUCCUUGCACAAUGAUCUCUAUUUCUCUCAAUGUUAUUCUGUGUCUUUCUUGCUUGCCUGCACAUUCUGAAAAAAAAAGGAAAGCAAUUCCCUACAUUUUAUUUUGAUACUUAAUGUUGUUUGCUAACAUAUUCAGAACACAAUGCAACUUUAUAUAUUAGAGCACUUAUAAUAUAUAUUAGGAAAACAUCAAUUAGGUACCACCAGUUAUUUUAGACAGGUAUCUCUUAGGUAAAAUGUGGUGAAAAUAGAGGGGCAAUGAUAGAAUUCAUAUGUGAAAGAGUCAAUUGGCCAUCAUUAUGCCAAAAUUAUUUUGUGGUUCAGGGGACAUUUUAAACUUUAAUUUUUAAGAAUUAAACUUUAAUUAAAUUUAUUGUAGUUUAAAUGCAAUCACAAGGAAAGACUCUGAACUGGAAACACCAAGCCAAGCUCUUUCCUAGUUCUGGUCCCCUAUAAACCCUGAAAGUUAAUGCAAUUAUUGUAAUUUUUAAACCACCGAGUUCUCAGGGUGAUUAGUUAUGCAGCAAUAGAUAGCCUGAAAAGGACCAUUCUUUCUGGCACUGAAAAUUAAGAAGAGUGAUUAACAACAUAAGAAUGUAGUUUGUGCUGUCUGCCACAGAUUUAUGUUGUAGCUUCAGUGAUUGCUUCAAAGCACCCUUACUAAUUGCCAGCCUAUUGCUGAUACCUAGCUAAAUUAGCAUGUGUUAGUUUUGAUACCACUAUAGGCAUUUAAAGGAUAGCUGAUACAUUCUAUAUAAAAUAUAAUUAUUUUCCUAUCUUUAGUUUAUCCUAAAGUAGCAGCUAUUAUAUUCGCUUCUUGAUUAGCUUUAUACAUAACCAGAGAAAGUAAAAUAUCACAGAGUAUAUUUGAAGACAUAAAAGUCUUUGGACAAAGCUCAAGUAAUGAAUCAGGAUGCUAUUACAUCCUCCACAUGACAGUAAAUAUAUUUUAUAUUCCUAAAUUUUAAGCUUUUAACAAAAGCAAAUUUUAUACUGGACUAUUUCAAUUUCUAGGGAAAGGAAAUUAUCAUUUACUGUCUUUGAGGCUAUAAUCUAUUUAGCCAUUAUUUUUAUAUUGAUCAAUUUAUAAUAAAGGUAAGAGAAAAUACUACCACA